UACAGAGGGGGCAAGCGUUGUUCGGAAUUACUGGGCGUAAAGGGCGCGUAGGCGGCCUUCUAAGUCGAACGUGAAAUCCCCGGGCUCAACCCGGGAACUGCGUCCGAUACUGGAAGGCUUGAAUCCGGGAGAGGGAUGCGGAAUUCCAGGUGUAGCGGUGAAAUGCGUAGAUAUCUGGAGGAACACCGGUGGCGAAGGCGGCAUCCUGGACCGACACUGACGCUGAGGAGCGAAAGCCAGGGGAGCAAACGGG
RNAcentral lists this ribosomal RNA (253 nucleotides) under uncultured bacterium. RNAcentral's name for it is "partial 16S ribosomal RNA". It matches the Rfam family "Bacterial small subunit ribosomal RNA", at positions 524 to 776 of the family's 1533-position model. The record is from RNAcentral.